Molecule: ribosomal RNA, 513 nt
Filed under: uncultured bacterium
Lineage: Bacteria
Description: bacterial SSU rRNA
Rfam family: Bacterial small subunit ribosomal RNA
Source: RNAcentral
AGCAGAGAUGCUUUGGUGCCUUUCGGGGAACUCUGAGACAGGUGCUGCAUGGCUGUCGUCAGCUCGUGUUGUGAAAUGUUGGGUUAAGUCCCGCAACGAGCGCAACCCUUAUCCUUUGUUGCCAGCGGUCCGGCCGGGAAACUCAAAGGAGACUGCCAGUGAUAAACUGGAGGAAGGUGGGGAUGACGUCAAGUCAUCAUGGCCCUUACGAGUAGGGCUACACACGUGCUACAAUGGCGCAUACAAAGAGAAGCGACCUCGCGAGAGCAAGCGGACCUCAUAAAGUGCGUCGUAGUCCGGAUUGGAGUCUGCAACUCGACUCCAUGAAGUCGGAAUCGCUAGUAAUCGUGGAUCAGAAUGCCACGGUGAAUACGUUCCCGGGCCUUGUACACACCGCCCGUCACACCAUGGGAGUGGGUUGCAAAAGAAGUAGGUAGCUUAACCUUCGGGAGGGCGCUUACCACUUUGUGAUUCAUGACUGGGGUGAAGUCGUAACAAGGUAGGCGUAGUGCU